RNAcentral lists this unclassified non-coding RNA (381 nucleotides) under Hevea brasiliensis (rubber tree). Lineage: Eukaryota; Viridiplantae; Streptophyta; Magnoliopsida; Malpighiales; Euphorbiaceae. The record is from RNAcentral.
AGCAACCAUGUCAAGUUUGGGCUUGAGCUCAAUUCAACAUAUGGAGAAGCUGAGAAAAAUUGGAGUAAUUUGGUUGCAAUAUUCUGUGGGAGAAGUAGGUCCACUUCUUGCUUUUUGAGAAGGUUUGGUUUGCAAUCCAUGGAGGAUCAAUGCACAGAGAGUGUUACUAAGCUAUUUGUGGCAUUUUGUGGGUCAAAGGAGCAUCUCAGGAACUAAAACUCAAAGAGGCCCCCCUUCUCAUGUGAUGUGUUUCAUACUUCAUACCUAUCACCUUUGAUAUCAUAAUGUAACAACUACUCUUUAUUAGUGGUACAUCUGUAUUGAAUUACUGAAUUCUCGUAGAAUAAUCAUUGCUAGAGGUAGGUUUAAUCUAUAUUUUUU